AGAAUCCGCGGGUCAGACCCGUUUCGGUAGACACAAGUGGGUGUGGAACCAUUGUGGAAGCUUAGAUAAUUAGAAGGAAAUGACAGCGGCGCGGAGGGAAAAUGCCCAUGUGAGCCCCAAACUCCAACAUGUAAUGGGAAUUACUGAUGCCUACUUGAAUGAGGCCUUUGGACUCCCUUAGGCAGUCGAGCCAGGUUUAAAGUUGUAUAAAAAAGUUGACACAAUCUCUUAUUAGAUGCAGAAAACACUACAACCCGUAGCG
Hyla sarda is the source of this 262-nucleotide long non-coding RNA. RefSeq lists it as uncharacterized. The transcript has 3 exons. The record is from RefSeq and is a predicted model, not a curated record. Lineage: Eukaryota; Metazoa; Chordata; Amphibia; Anura; Hylidae.